This 253-nucleotide ribosomal RNA is filed under the name uncultured bacterium. RNAcentral's name for it is "partial 16S ribosomal RNA". It matches the Rfam family "Bacterial small subunit ribosomal RNA", at positions 524 to 776 of the family's 1533-position model. The record is from RNAcentral.
UACGGAGGAUCCAAGCGUUAUCCGGAUUUAUUGGGUUUAAAGGGUGCGUAGGCGGACAUUUAAGUUAGUCGUUAAAUCGCGAGGCUCAACCUCGCCAUGGCGAUUAAUACUGGAUGUCUAGAGAUUAGAUGCAGAGGGCGGAAUGUGUAGUGUAGCGGUGAAAUGCUUAGAUAUUACACAGAACACCGAUUGCGAAGGCAGCUCUCUAAUCUACAUCUGACGCUGAGGCACGAAAGCGUGGGGAUCAAACAGG